GGUUAAUAGUUUUAUUAGUGUAUUUCUUAUUUUGUAUGUGAAUGAAAAACUUUUAAUCGAGAAUGAUGUUCCUUGCAUUACAGAAAAUAAAGGUUUCACUAUUAUUAUUGUUCUUCAUAAAGGAUUUGAAAAAGGCAUCCCUCAUCCUAGGGAUGAAGAUCUGUAGAAAUAGAUCCAAGAGACUGCUUGGGUUAUCCCAAUUCAACAUACACAGAGUGCUUAUGAGUAGAAUUUAUUCUAUCAUGUACAUCAUGUACGAGAUAGGAUAUGAUAUACUCACUAGGGUAGUGAGUGGAUACCUGCA
RNAcentral lists this long non-coding RNA (304 nucleotides) under Elaeis guineensis (African oil palm). RNAcentral describes it as "long non-coding RNA (EGUI_LNC056060)". Lineage: Eukaryota; Viridiplantae; Streptophyta; Magnoliopsida; Arecales; Arecaceae. The record is from RNAcentral.